This 12299-nucleotide long non-coding RNA is filed under the name Sorghum bicolor (sorghum). Its description in RNAcentral is "long non-coding RNA (SBIC_LNC017646)". The record is from RNAcentral. Lineage: Eukaryota; Viridiplantae; Streptophyta; Magnoliopsida; Poales; Poaceae.
CUACACUAAGUUCUGGAGAUUUAUUUUGAAAAUAUACAAAUCACAUGAUGAGUUCCUUGCAUAACAAAACUACCUACCACAGCCAUACUUGCUAUAACAUCUUUUACUAUUUACAUUGAGUUUGAUCGAGCUGUGUAGACCCUUAGGAGCUUUUCAUGUGGUUAAAUUAAGAUAUUCACUUGCACACAUCUACCACAGCAUUCAUCAAUCAUUAAAAUUGCUAAAAAUAUUUUCACUCACUGUCCCGAAUAUUGUUAUUCUCUCUCUCUAAAAAGAUUCAAUGCAGAAGAGGCAUGGGUUAUGCAAAAAUAUACGAGGAAAUAAAAAGGGGCAAGUGCCCGGAACCUCGGAAAAGAAAGAAAAAGAGUGAGACGAGAGGUAAAAAUGGACAAGUGUCCGAAGUAGAAUUAGGGGUACAAAGAUGCCCACUUGAGCGGAAAAAAAUGGACAAGUGUCCGACAGUAGAAUUAGGGGUAUCUACUACCCACCUGAAAAAAAAAGAGAAAAGAAAAAGAUAGCCCAUGUUCUCCCAAAGCAAAGAUCAAAGAGGAGGAGAGAUAGCAGUAUGAGGAGCAAUGAGAACUAAGUUUUAUUAUCACUUAUGCAUUUUCACCAUCACUAUCAUUUACUCCAUCACACAUGCACAUCUUGAUUUAAUUAUAUGCUGAGUUGCUUUGGAUCCAUGGCUCGAUUAGACAACAUAUGUAUGAGCUAUUUUUUCACUCCUAUGAGCUCCACUUAAAUAUUCUAUUAGCUAUAGGCAAGUGAUAUCAUGGUAAGGAUCCACAAAUACCACAUAUAGAGAGACUUGAGAGAAUCAUUGCUGGGAACUCUGAGUUUUAUUUUAAAAACUUAUAAAAAACUCUAGAACAAAGGUGAAGUAUAGACAGGAGGAUAGUGCUUGACUUAACUAUUUUGUCUUUUGAUUACUUAAGAUUUAAGUGCAGGUACUAAACUUCAUAACACUUCACUUUAAUCUGGAAGAAUUUUUAUGUAAAAGCUUGUGUGCCUGUCAGGAAAGAAAAGAUCGAAGCAACUCCUGAUCCGUCUGAGUUUAGCUGUUGCUCAGGGACGAGCAAAGGGUAAUCUUGGGGGAGUUUGUGACGUCCUAAGUACNNNNNNNNNNNNNNNNNNNNNNNNNNNNNNNNNNNNNNNNNNNNNNNNNNNNNNNNNNNNNNNNNNNNNNNNNNNNNNNNNNNNNNNNNNNNNNNNNNNNGAAAAAGGAUCAAUAUGAAACAAACAUCUAGAAUUAGGGUUUUAUCUGACAGAAUUCCACGAGUUUUGGUGUUUAUCUAUUUCUGCUGGGGUUUAUCAGAGAAUAUGAAGAGAAGGCCACAUGUGUUGAUGGUCCUUAAUGUUCACAUUUAACCAUCAACUAAUCAUGGAAAAGGAUCUAAAUGGAACCAAAACCUAGACUUAGGGUUUACCUGACAGAAUCCACAAGUUUUGGUGUUUGUCUAUUUCUGCAGGGGGUUAUCAGGAAAUAUGGAAGAAAGGCCCACACGUCGGGUUUACAUAGAGAUAUUAACGUGCCGCACAAUUAUCUACCAUCUAGAAGACUCCAGAAGCCACGGGACCAAAGCGGAGGCCGAUAGGGCUCAGGCACUGGGCGCCCGCCCUAGUCCUAAGGGCGCCCGCCCACCUCUUUCCACCAAUCAGGGUGAAGUUUGGGGAUCAUGCUCCACCGACCUAAUACUUCAAGGAAAACCACACGAUCAAUGUCGGUUUGAUCCGACGGCCCAGAUUCACUUGAAGGGACUAUAAAACCAGACCCCCCUGGCCCCUGGAGAUCAUACCUCUUCUACAGAAUCAAAGCUAGGGUUUCAAUUCUUCAUCCAAGUAGAGAGGAUCCCUCUAGUUCUUCUAGUUCUACCUCUAGUUCAUCUAGAUCUAGUUCUAGUUCAUCUAGUUCUAGUUCUAGUUCCUCUAGUUCUAGUUCUAGUUAGUUCUAGUUGUAAUCUAGAAAAUAGGGAGAGAGAAGAGGAGAGCGGAGGAGGAGCCAGAUCUGUCGGAUCUUCCUCAACAUUGUACUUUUGCAGCAACUGGUUCGUUCUUCAUCGUUCUCCAGGUUCUUCAAUUUAUAAUUCCUAAGUUCUCUAAUUACUUUUAUUUACAUUCAAGUUAUUUAUUGGAUUCCCGCUUGCAUCAAGUGCUCUAGUCUUUAUAACGCUAGAGUAGUAAUUAAUAGAUUAGACGUGGUGUUUAGUCUUGCGAUUACCUGGAAUUGCACCCAAUCCUACGGAUUGUUGUGGUAGCCCUAGGGUAGUGACAGCCCUAACGGUCGACGUAUUCCACCACGUUCGGAUCGGUGUUUGUAGGACCGUAGUCAGACCUUCCUAGCCCCCUUCUCAUCUCUUUCUGUGGUUAGUGCUCUGAUGUCCCGAUAUAGAUAAUCUUGAAGUAAUUCUUGAUUCUUAGAUCAACUAGCGAACUCUCAGGAAACUUCCUCUCUUUCCACCAAAAAUAAUUAUAUAGUUAUCCUUGGGCGAUCUUGGAUCUUAAUUAGUACACUCACGUUCUCUGUGGAAAAUCGAUACUCUGGAAUACUCCCGGGUGAAAGCUACAUCGGUAUCCGUGCGCUUGUGGAUUUUUCUGUUUGCGUUUAAAAUACCCAACAAGCUUUCUGGUGCCGUUGCCGGAGAACGGUAGCUGUGCUAGUUUCUAACCAAGUCGUCUGUGUAUCCUUUUUCUUUUCCUUUUUUACCACACUCACCUUAUCAUUUUCACCAUACCACAUGGAUUUCACUCUAAGCAUUAAUGGGCAUGGAAUUUAUUUCAUAGCCACUUCAUUUACUCCAUGCUCAUAUGCAACAUCUUCACAAUCCAUUGGUCUCUCCAACAUCACCACAUUCGAGAUCUCCAACCCCCACUUCCUUUCUAUUUAUAAAAACUUUAAAAGGGCGGUUGUCGAUGCAUAUGUCUAUAAUAAAUUUUGCAGAUCUCGUUGAGUUGAUCUUGAUAUAGGUCAGCGUUGGAGGGGAAACCACUUCACUGACAUAAAUUGAUGGUUUUCCAAGGACAAGCUUAGUGUCCUAAAACAAGCACUGAUCAGAUCGUAACAUUAGUUUUUAAUUAUUUGCAACAUUACCUUGUGUAUUGAGCAUAUAAGGAUAAUUGUAAAAAAAUUCCUUCGGGUAUUCUUGUCACUAACCUUUCUAGGAUUGGAGCAAGAAGAUCGGAUGAAUGACAAGCACAAGGUAUGUACAACCAAUCAUCAUACAACAUUGAAUUAAAUUAAUCCAAACUUGAAUUUUGCAAAAUUCAAGCUUGGGGGAGUACUUUAUAUAAAAACAUCAUUUGCCAUGUUGCUAUGUUGGUUGUCCCUACCUUUGAGACAUGCUCAAUUUGUUAAAUAGUAAUCACACUACUUCAUCUCCACUUGAGUAGAUCUCUAUAAAUGCUCUCAUGCUACCUUUAUUUGCUUUAGUAUAUGUCUAGGUUUGGAGUAGUUUCAUUUAUCUCUUAAUUAAGCAUGGUGCUUAGUUUAGGGCUGAUGAUCUUACUUCCAAGGGAGUUUAAAUUAAGCAUGAUGCUUAGGUUAAAAUGCCCUCCUAAAUCAAAUUAGACAUAGUGUCUAGGUUGAUCUUUGAGCUGAUAGUAUGCUAUAGUAGAUAUUGGAUAUUUUGUNNNNNNNNNNNNNNNNNNNNNNNNNNNNNNNNNNNNNNNNNNNNNNNNNNNNNNNNNNNNNNNNNNNNNNNNNNNNNNNNNNNNNNNNNNNNNNNNNNNNAAGUUUAACAAUUUACACAAGGAAAGCAUAGCUCACAAGAGAUGAUAAAUGGAGGGUGCCACAAACACGAUGCACAACCACUAAGAAAGGAAAGCUUCCACAAGGUGAUACUGUACCAUCACUCUUCAAGUAAGGUAACAUCUUAAGGUACUUGACUAUCACUUUUAUAAAGCUUCUCCUUGGUUCUGGCGUUCACAUGAAUAAAAGAGACAAACAUGUAUGAUUUACAACUCUAGAUUAACCAACCUAAUCAUGUUUAGUCCUUCCACCUUUGUGAUCCCAUACUCCUAAUCAUAUAAGCUAAAAUGUUGCACACUCAAUCUUUGGAAGAUAUAAACAAAACAUAUAUAUAGAUAGAUUAUCUUUCCAUAAGGUCGAGCAAUCUAAUCUGACAAAUGUUAAAUACUACACUCAUGAUUUUAUUAUCCAUCAACUUUGUCUUGCUCACUAUGCUUGAGGUUAGAGAAGAACAAAUACACUUUUGGUUCUGUUGGUGUUUUCCACCAACAGAGCCCAUGCACUUGAUCUCUGCCUUGUCUCUAUGAGCAGGUACACUUCGAGCAAAAUAUGAAGGAGUUUUACAACUCCCAGACUCCACCAAGUGAAGAACCUAGAUCUAUGAGCACAAACACACUGGAGAUACUGGACACUCAGGCAAUCACUACCUUGAGAUGCUUGAGGACGUAACUACUGGAGUAACCCCGUUAUGGAAGUAAUUACUGACCUUCUGCCAGUCAAGAAAGGCAAUCCAGGAUGCACCGUCAUCCCGAUCUCCUCCGGCAUGCUUGCAGAUUGUACGCUAAGUUUCCCAAAGGGAAUAUUGAAGAACCUCUACGUCUGAGUUGGUACCUUAUACGUUCCAGCAGACUUCAUGGUGAUAGAGACUGAUACUGAUCAGAGGGCACCCAUCCUAGGGAGGCCAUUCCUGAACACCUCAGGAGCUGUCAUCUACGCUAGUGCUGCCAAGAUCAGUUUCUACAUCAUGGGAAGGACGGAGACGUUUUCCUUCAAGAACAAGACUACACAAAUCUUAGAGCAAUCCUAACAUGAACCAAGGAAGGACCAACAGGAGGAACAGGAACAAGCAAAUGUGUACCGAGUCAGCUAGGAUGGUCACUGCAGCUCAAGGAGGUCAAGAUCGUCAACUCAAGUCAUCUUUCUUGAUCAAGAAGGACGACCCUGGUGUCCCAAUCAUCAAGUGCACAAUCAACGGAUAUUAUUUUCAGAAGACACUCUACGACACCGGAUCUGACGUCAACAUAAUGGCCGUAGUCACUUAUCAUCUCCUGCAUGGAACCAUGCCCCUAAAACCGACAUACAUUCAGCUUCAGAUGGCAGAUCAGACAUUCCGAAAGAUUGAAGACAAGUACGAUCCAACCAUCAUCCUUGGGAGACUGUUCCUUAGCACUGUUAAAGCAAUCAUCUACAUUGGAACCGGAGAAGUCCACAUGCACUUCCCCUCUGAGAAGGUACGCUGCUAUUUUACUGACCCUAACUAUAUAGUUGAAGACUCUAAGCAGGUCAGGACAAGAAGAAGAUGACACAACCGUAACCAGAGGAGGCAAAUCAUCAAGGAUGGAUGGGCAGACUAUGAAGGAGAAGUCGUAAGGUCUGAAGACAUACAGCUUGAACAGAACUGUCCUGAGGAGACCGUAGCACCGAGUCAGGUGUGGAGAAAGAAGAUAGUUAUACACGAAGAGCAGGCUCUGCCGGAACCACCGACUAUGCCAUCAAGCAAAUCCCAGGACGACUGAGAAAACGGAGUGUCCCGUUCAGAGGACUUAAAAACACCGAACGCCUUGCCAAGAGGUAAACUUGGUAGUUAUCUUUUUCCUUUCAAUUAUUUUAAAAUAGUUUGCUUAGUUAAUCAGGUUCACAUCAUCUUGAAAAGAAAAUAAAAAUAGUAAGCCCCAUGUGAUUAUGCUCAUGGCAUAAAACCCAUAAGUACAUUCACUGUGGUGGCGUAAAAAUAAAAUAAAUAUAUUCCUGUCCUAUAAAAAUAAAAUUAUAAAAAUAGAUUUAUGAUCCCACUAAAAAGAGUAAUAUUUAUUGAGGAGACUUAACAUGAUAAAGGCUAGAUAUUUAUGCUAACACUUAACUAGUUCCACAAGCUUUGUUGUCUAUUUGAGCUCCACAGAAUUCAAGGAUCAAAGAAGACUAGCAGACGGAGGACAUCCUAGUCGCCGUCAGGGUGCUGCUGACAUUCAAAUAUACCUUCGCCACCUGCUAGCUACAUCAGAAGGAAUUACGUCAAAAUCCAGCUUGGGGGAGAGCACCUCCAUUUAUCCAGCUAAGUAUUCUACUCACGUUUAUAUUUUACUCAAAUAAUAAAAAGAUGCAUAAUCAUAAAAACCCAAAUAAAGAUUUUGUGCUUAUAUAUAUAUAUAUAUAUCUUUGCUUAGUUUGCUAAAUAAAUAAAUAAAUAAAAUUUGCUAUGAACCCUCAUGAUAAGCUCUCACAUGGAAAGAUGAAUAGUUGCUCUGCCAUGACUAGUUCUCAAAAUUGAAAUCUCUCUCAAGUUUAGGUAUCACUGUUAUUAAUUAAGAUUUGCUCUAAACCUGAACUUGUGGGAAGAGUACUUGAUCUGAAGUCUAAGUCGUUAACGGAUAUGAUAUGGGAAGGUUGAGCUGCUGUUUAUCUGUUCCUAGAGAUGCUAGAAUUCUGGAGAAUUUUAUCUUUGAAAAAUCUUUAAAAUGUUGCAUGAUGAGUUCCUGUAUGAUGAGAGUUUAAAUUCCUACCACAGCCAUAUAUACAUGCUUGCUAAACUAUGAACCACACAUUUACUUUACUACUUAUGAACAUUGAGUGUGCUCAAGCUGUGUAGACCCUUAGGAGCUUGUCAUGUGGUUAAGUCAAGAUUCACUUGCACGUUCACUCACACAUGCUGCUUCUACUCCGGAAGUACGCAUCCACAUAUAUCCACCCAUUUCCAUCUCCAGAACCACCCAAAAAUAUUCUACUCCUAAUCCGGGAGAGAAUAGCCAAAAACAUUUAUGUUUUUCCUCUGUGAAAUAAAUGCUCAAGUUAUCUUGUUACUACCACUUGCUAUAUUAUUUCAGGAGAUGAGUGCUCUAAAAAAAAGAGAAAGAAAAAAAAGAAAGAAUACGAGGAAAUAAAAAGGGGCAAGUGCCCGGAACCUCGAAAGAAAAGAAAAAGUGAGACGAGAGGUAAAAAUGGACAAGUGUCCGACAGUAGAAUUAGGGUUACAAGAUGCCCACCUGAGAGAAAAGAAAAAGAAAAUAUAGAGCAUCUCAUUCUCCUCAAAAAGUUUCAAAAGAGCAAGAAAGGUAUGUAUCCCCUCAAAAGAGCAUAAGUAGAAUUAGACUUUCACCAUUGUUAUAUCCAUCAUCACCAUACACCAUUCAUUCGCCACACAUGCACAUCUUGAUUUGACUUAUUGACUUGUUCUUCUGGAUCCAUGGUUUGACUAUGCAAUAUAUGUCUUGUAAGUAUGUAUUAGCUGUCUCCCACCUAUGAGCUCCAGAUAUCAAAACCUUAUUAGAGUAGGGUGAGAGAGAAGGCAAUGUCACUAUGCCUCAUACCAAAAAUACCACAUACUUUGAGAGAAGGCAUACACCUUUACUGCCUUGGUAAGGAUCCAGAAAUACCACAAAAGAGAGACUAGAGAGAGUCAUACAAGGAAUCUCUGAGUUUUAUUUGAAAAUCUGCAAAAACUCCAGAGCUAUAGUUAAUCGAAGAACAAGAGACAUGGUGCUUGACUAGACUGUUCUAUCUUUUAACUACUCAAGAUAGAAGUGACGGUUACAAGUCCCAUAGUGAAAGGUAAAUGAGUAAGUUUUAAGUCUUAACAGUUUACUCUAACCAGAGAUGAGAUCUUGUUUAAACGCAUGUGUAUCUUUAAGUUAUGAAACCACUGCAGAAACUCUUGAGUUCAUCUUUGCUCAGGGACGAGCAAAGGUUAAGCUUGGGGGAGCUUGUUGACGGUCCUUAAUGUUCACAUUUAACCAUCAACUAAUCAUGGAAAAGGAUCUAAAUGGAACCAACACCUAGACUUAGGGUUUUAUCUGAUAGAAUUCCACAAGUUUUGGUGUUUGUCUAUUUUCUGCAGGGGGUUAUCAGGAAAUAUGGAAGAAAGGCCCACACGUCGGGUUUACAUAGAGAUAUUAACGUGCCGCACAAUUAUCUACCAUCUAGAAGACUCCAGAAGCCACGGGACCGAAGCGGAGGCCGAGAGGGCUCAGGCACUGGGCGCCCGCCCUAGUCCUAAGGGCGCCCGCCCACCUCUUUCCACCAAUCAGGGUGAAGUUUGGGGAUCAUGCUCCACCGACGUAAUACUUCAAGGAAAACCACACGAUCAAUGUCGGUUUGAUCCGACGGCCCAGAUUCACUUGAAGGGACUGUAAAACCAGACCCCCCUGGCCCCUGGAGAUCAUACCUCUUCUACAGAAUCAAAGCUAGGGUUUCAAUUCUUCAUCCAAGUAGAGAGGAUCCCUCUAGUUCUUCUAGUUCUACCUCUAGUUCAUCUAGAUCUAGUUCUAGUUCAUCUAGUUCUAGUUCUAGUUCCUCUAGUUCUAGUUCUAGUUAGUUCUAGUUGUAAUCUAGAAAAUAGGGAGAGAGAAGAGGAGAGCGGAGGAGGAGCCGGAUCUGUCGGAUCUUCCUCAACAUUGUACUUUUGCAGCAACUGGUUCGUUCUUCAUCGUUCUCCAGGUUCUUCAAUUUAUAAUUCCUAAGCUCUCUAAUUACUUUUAUUUACAUUCAAGUUAUUUAUUGGAUUCCCGCUUGCAUCAAGUGCUCUAGUCUUUAUAACGCUAGAGUAGUAAUUAAUAGAUUAGACGUGGUGUUUAGUCUUGCGAUUACCUGGAAUUGCACCCAAUCCUAUGGAUUGUUGUGGUAGCCCUAGGGUAGUGACAGCCCUAACGGUCGACGUAUUCCACCACGUUCGGAUCGGUGUUUGUAGGACCGUAGUCAGACCUUCCUAGCCCCCUUCUCAUCUCUUUCUGUGGUUACUGCUCUGAUGUCCCGAUAUAGAUAAUCUUGAAGUAAUUCUUGAUUCUUAGAUCAACUAGAGAACUCUCACGAAACUUCCUCUCUUUUCACCAAAAAUAAUUAUAUAGUUAUCCUUGGGCGAUCUUGGAUCUUAAUUAGUACACUCACGUUCUCUGUGGAAAAUCGAUACUCUGGAAUACUCCCGGGUGAAAGCUACAUCGGUAUCCGUGCGCUUGCGGAUUUUUCUGUUUGCGUUUAAAAUACCCAAAAACAUGUCAUGUUUACAACGAGAUAAUUACGUGCCGCACAAUUUUCCUCAAUCUAGAAGGAUCUAGAAGCCACGGGAAUGAACGGGACGCGAUUCGGGCUCGGGGGCAGGGCGCCCGCCCACCCGCCUUGGGCGCCCGCCCAGGUUAGGAGGCCAAUCAGGACUCUGCUUCGGGACAACGCUCCACCGACCUAAAGGAUCAAUCUAAACCAUACAAUCUAUGUUGGUUUGAUCCAAUGGCUCACGUUCACUUGAGGGGACUAUAAAACCCGACCCCCUGGCCCCUGGAGGAAGAGAGGAGAAAUCAUUAUUCAGAGGUAGCCAUCAAAGUUAGGGUUUAGAUCUCUCUCCCACAGAGAAUUAGAAUUAGCUACUCCCUGAUCCUUCAAGUUUAGAUGUUUGAUUAGAUAGCAAUUAGAGAAGUAGAGCACUACGCUCUGGAUUCGGAUCUUCGGUAAUAAAGAUUGGUAUUAUUCAUAUCUUUCUCUAAUUCUAUUGUUCUAAUUGCAUUAUGUCUCUAAUUAUUAUGUUCUUAGUUUGCUCUAGUUCUAUAUUUGAUAUAGUUAUGAUUGAUAAUGAGUUUAUGUAUAAGUUUGCAAAGCGCUUAGCUCUUGAGGCGAGGGAGUUAGGUGAUAGAUCACAUGUGAGCGUGGUGCUUAGAUGUUAUUUAUCUGCAAAUGUAUCCUAUUGGCCGAGUCGUGUGGUAGUUCGCGAUAGUGACAGCUUCAUUGAUUCUUAUAUAGUCCACCCUCCGUUGAUAGGACAGGCAGAACCGGUAUUGUGGAGUAAGUCAUGCGAUGUUCUGAUUUACUUUAUCAAUGUUCCUUAUACAUGAAUGAAGAGUCUUUUAUGCUAUAUAUGAUCUUGUAGAUAACUAGAGUAGAUUAUGACUUAGUAGUUAGUAGAUAACUUAGAAUCCAUUCUCUAGCUAAUCCGACAUCACUUACAUAUAUGAGGAGUAGUCUAUUUUCUAAUCGCUGUGUUAUCUACCCAUGAACUUAUACUUUAUUAUCAUUAUCUUUAUGGUUUACCCCCUGCUAAAGUAAGUGACUGUGUGACGAGUUUCUCAUUAGUAAUCAUGUUCUUGCAAGUUUAUCUCUAGUCUAUGCCUUGAUAGAUUUUGCCCAUUGAUUUAAUUCCAUCUUCUUUAGAUCCCUUGAGCAAAAUUAUAAAUAACGAUACCUGGAAUACUUAUCCUGGUGAAAUGCUACAAUGAGGUGUUUUAUCUGUGCGCUUGCGGAUAGAAUAGAUUAUUUUCUUGAGAGCCUUUACAUUUAUAAAUACCUUUGUACACUCUGGCGCCAUGCUAGGGAUGACAACCUAGUAUCUAAGUGAUGUUAGCUAGUGUCAACAAUAAUUUUUACAGUCAAGCCCGAACCAGUGACAUGGAACACCCCACUCUUAGGAUGUUUCACAAAUGGCUUGGGUACAAUCUUUUCUAUCGUGACGAUAUUAGGAAAGUAAGAGUAGGAGAUUUACAACUUUUAUAUGCUGCUAUUAGUAAAGUACCUACUUCAUCUGUUACACUAUUAGUUUCUCAUUGGCUUAGUAUACCUAGUCUUCAGGGACCAGUAGGAUGUACUUCACUUAUCACUCACCUAGCCAAUCUUCACUUACUAGAAAACUCAUCGUUGGACUUCAUAGAAGAAUUAAGAAUUGAUCAUGGCUAUGACACAUUUAGACAAGCUCGGAUGUUAAAGAAAGAGGGAAAUAUAAUGUACAUGCUAUAUGAUGAUAAAGGCAAGAUUCGGUUACCUAACCCGAACCUUGGCCUCUACACUGUGCAAAACUUUUUGAUUGAGAUUGCAGCAACACCAGUGAACCAGAGAACUCCACAGCGAGUAGCAUCUGAAAGGAUAACCACUCACCGAGAACGCACUUGGUAUGGAGCUGACCCUGGACCAGAAGAAGCAGCGCACCUGCAUUAUUGCGAUUACAAUCCACGAGUCCUUCAAAACCCAUGGGCUCGAUAUGCGCAACCACAAGAGCCAACAGAGGAGACAUGGCCGGAGAGCCAAGAUCACCAGUGGACAAACCCGCCUUUUCAUACGGGCAGGUACUCCACUGAUCCAUAUGGAGCUUCAGGAUCCAGACCUCCGCCCCAAUUUGAUGCAGGACGAUACUCUGACACCUCCUACGCUUUCACGAAUGUCUACUAUCAAGAGGCUGGUGCUUUCUUCACUCGUACCGACAACACCCUCCUCGACAUCCAGAACACGCAAGCAGAACAUGGAAGACUCCUGGAAGAGCAACAAAAAUGGAACCAGGACCAUGCAGCUGCAGUAGAAGAGCUGAGACAAGAUACAACAACAAUGAAUGACAACAUCACAACCAUGAUGCGGUUCUGGAACAUCGGGGAAGACCGACGUCAACAUCCAGCUUGGGGGAGUUCCUCCUCAAAUUAUCAAGUAAGUUUUUAUUUGCUCUUCUUAUAUAUUCUAUUCUGUCUUAGUAUUUAAUUAAUCUUAAAAGGAAAAACUUAGAAAACCAAAUAAAUAUUUUCUUGCUUUUAUUCACUGCACUUUAAUAAACAUGAAAACAAAAUAAAAAGAGUGUGUAGAUAAGUGUGCUUUAUUUUCCUGCUAAGUUUAAUCUCUAGAAAAAAUAAAAAGACCAAAAAUAUGCAUGAUGGAAAUGAUGAACAGUUGCUCUGUUUGCUUACUUACAAGUACCUAGCUUUUAUAUUAGAGUUCUUCCAGGAAUUACUAAAACUAAACUUACUAUCUUUGGGAAGCAUAAAACUAAAGUCUAGGUAAGAGAAAGGCAUGAUAUAAAGUUGAGCUGCUGUUUAUCUUGUUCCUACUACACUAAGUUCUGGAGAUUUAUUUUGAAAACUUCCAAGUCACAUGAUGAGUUCCUAGCAUACAAAACUACCUACCACAGCCAUACUUAACAUCUUUUACUAUAUUCACAUUGAGUUUGAUCGAGUUGUGUAGACCCUUAGGAGCUUUUCAUGUGGUUAAAUUAAGAUAUUCACUUGCACACAUCUACCACAGCAUUCACCAUCAAUCAUUAAAAUUGCUAAAAAUAUUUUCACUCACUAUCCCUAAUAUUGUUAUUCUCUCUCUCUAAAAAGAUUCAAUGCAGAACAGGCAUGGGUUAUGCUAAAGUAUACGAGGAAAUAAAAAGGGGCAGGUGCCCGGAACCUUGAUAAAGAAGGAAAAAGAGUGAGACGAGAGGUAAAAAUGGACAAGUGUCCGAAGUAGAAUUCGGGGUACAAAGAUGCCCACUUGAGCGGAAAAAAUGGACAAGUGUCCGACAGUAGAAUUGGGGGUAUCUACUACCCACCUGAAAAAAAAGAGAAAGAGAAAAAGAGAUAGCCCAUGUUCUCCCAAAGCAAAGAUCAAAGAAGAGGCG